Molecule: ribosomal RNA, 253 nt
Filed under: uncultured bacterium
Lineage: Bacteria
Description: partial 16S ribosomal RNA
Rfam family: Bacterial small subunit ribosomal RNA
Source: RNAcentral
UACGUAGGCAGCGAGCGUUGUUCGGAGUUACUGGGCGUAAAGGGUGCGCAGGCGGUGGAGCAAGUCUGAUGUGAAAUCUCCCGGCUUAACUGGGAGGGUGCGGCGGAAACUGGGAUGCUAGAGGAUGGGAGAGGUAAGCGGAAUUCCUGGUGUAGCGGUGAAAUGCGUAGAUAUCAGGAGGAACACCUGUGGUGUAGACAGCUUACUGGACCAUUUCUGACGCUGAGACACGAAAGCGUGGGUAGCAAACAGG